GCCCCGGUAGCCCAGCGGUAGAGGCAAUGGAUUCAAAACCCAUCCAGCGUCGGUUCGAAUCCGACUCGGGGUA
This 73-nucleotide transfer RNA is filed under the name Streptomyces graminifolii. RNAcentral's name for it is "tRNA-Leu". It matches the Rfam family "tRNA". From Rfam's summary of the family: Transfer RNA (tRNA) molecules are approximately 80 nucleotides in length. Their secondary structure includes four short double-helical elements and three loops (D, anti-codon, and T loops). Further hydrogen bonds mediate the characteristic L-shaped molecular structure. tRNAs have two regions of fundamental functional importance: the anti-codon, which is responsible for specific mRNA codon recognition, and the 3' end, to which the tRNAs corresponding amino acid is attached (by aminoacyl-tRNA synthetases). tRNAs cope with the degeneracy of the genetic code in two manners: having more than one tRNA (with a specific anti-codon) for a particular amino acid; and 'wobble' base-pairing, i.e. permitting non-standard base-pairing at the 3rd anti-codon position. The record is from RNAcentral. RNAcentral also lists the same sequence under 28 other names. Lineage: Bacteria; Bacillati; Actinomycetota; Actinomycetes; Kitasatosporales; Streptomycetaceae.